UCCUGCCAGCACAUAGUACCCUAAAAAUAACAGUAAUAUGAAUAUUGAGUACUCCUGCCCUGAGAGCAGUGCAUAGUUUAGUAAAAUAACGGUAAUAUGAAUAUUGAGUACUCCUGCCCGGAGAGCAGCACAUAAUUUAGUAAAAUAACAGUAAUAUGAAUAUUGAGUACUUCUGCCCUGAGAGCAGCGCAUAGUUGAGUAAAAUAACAGUAAUAUGAAGAUUGAGUACUCCUGCCCUGAGAGCAGCGCAUAGUUUAGUAAAAUAACAGUAAUAUGAAUAUUGAGUGCUCCUGCCCUGAGAGCAGUGCGUAGUUUAUUAAAAUAAGAGUAAUAUGAAUAUUGAGUACUCCUGCCCUGAGAGCAGCACAUAGUUUAGUAAAAUAACAGUAAUAUGAAUAUUGAGUACUCCUGCCCUGAGAGCAGCACAUAGUUUAUUAAAAUAACAGUAAUAUGAAUAUUGAGUGCUCCUGCCCUGAGAGCAGCACAUAGUUUAUUAAAAUAACAGUAAUAUGAAUAUUGAGUACUCCUGCCCUGAGAGCAGUGCAUAGUUUAUAAAAAUAACAGUAAUAUGAAUAUUGAGUACUCCUGCCCUGAGAGCAGCACAUAGUUU
Molecule: long non-coding RNA, 610 nt
Organism: Cyprinus carpio carpio
Lineage: Eukaryota; Metazoa; Chordata; Actinopteri; Cypriniformes; Cyprinidae
Source: Ensembl